UACAGAGGGGGCAAGCGUUGUUCGGAAUUACUGGGCGUAAAGGGCGCGUAGGCGGCCUUCUAAGUCAGACGUGAAAUCCCCGGGCUCAACCCGGGAACUGCGUCUGAGACUGGAAGGCUCGAAUCCGGGAGAGGGAUGCGGAAUUCCAGGUGUAGCGGUGAAAUGCGUAGAUAUCUGGAGGAACACCGGUGGCGAAGGCGGCAUCCUGGACCGGCAUUGACGCUGAGGCGCGAAAGCGUGGGGAGCGAACAGG
RNAcentral lists this ribosomal RNA (253 nucleotides) under uncultured bacterium. Its description in RNAcentral is "partial 16S ribosomal RNA". It matches the Rfam family "Bacterial small subunit ribosomal RNA", at positions 524 to 776 of the family's 1533-position model. The record is from RNAcentral.